GCAGCUGUGUGUGAAGGGCUGGUCAUCGCUGAAUUAAACAGUGACGGAUGUGCUACACUGAGAAAGAUGUGGUGUCUGGGGGUCAGGCAGACCUGGGGUUGCUGCUUGUAAUGUUGCUCAGGACUCUUAAUUCUGCCUUUGAAAAAGGGAAUGCUAUCUACAUGUGGUGGAAGGGGGCAGGCAGCAGGCCACCCUUUCUAGAAGGGCUGUGGGUUUGCGAUCACCCGCCAUUUUGCUUACAGGGCUCAGCUCUCCCAUUCCCCCUUUAUGCUCCCCUUGGUAUCAUCCCCCUAGGGAUGUUCAGUCUUUCCGUGGAAUCACAGUGUCACCACGACAUCUCUGCCUGUGACCCGUGACAUCUCCUUGACUUUUCUUCCUUCCACAGUGUUAGUCAUUAGGUGUGGGACGUUGAGCACGCCAGACAUAGCUUGACACGGAGUUCUACCCGCUACCCACUCCAUUCUCCACUGCGGCAUUUGAUAAAGGCCCUGGGGGAUCCAGAAUGUCUGUUUCUACCUGUUCCCUGGAGCUCUCUGUGACUUUCAGCUCAACCAUGACCUGCCCAGAGGCAAGGUAGCCAGUGAAAGGAGCCAUUCUCCCUAGGCCGGGGACAGACUGUCAAAGAGGGGCGGUCAGAGCCUCUCACCAGCAUCUCUAGUGAAGUGGAAGCUUCAUCUGCUAAAUUCAGACUCUUGGACCUUCCCUGCCAUCACAAGGACCCCCUCCAUUAAAAUACUUGAACUGAA
This 746-nucleotide long non-coding RNA is filed under the name Rattus norvegicus (Norway rat). Its description in RNAcentral is "long non-coding RNA NONRATT010779". The record is from RNAcentral. Lineage: Eukaryota; Metazoa; Chordata; Mammalia; Rodentia; Muridae.